This 65-nucleotide non-coding RNA is filed under the name Kerstersia gyiorum. RNAcentral describes it as "Betaproteobacteria toxic small RNA". It matches the Rfam family "Betaproteobacteria toxic small RNA". From Rfam's summary of the family: Overexpression in amino aid rich medium attenuates growth, suggesting role in repressing amino acid intake and metabolism. The record is from Rfam by way of RNAcentral. Lineage: Bacteria; Pseudomonadati; Pseudomonadota; Betaproteobacteria; Burkholderiales; Alcaligenaceae.
UGUCUCCUCCACCCUCCUCCUUUGGUGGAUUUGGCCCGAGAUUGCAAAAUCUCGGGCCUUUUUUU